GGGCUUUUGGGUGUUGGACAACCAUAGGCAAAACUGAAAUGGAACAGGGGCAGAAAAUAGCACACUUUUACUCUACGCAACUGUUGCUUUUUCAUGAUCUUCAGGAAUUUUACUGGGAUAAUUAUCCAAAUAAAUUGCAAGCAUUCUAUCCAAAUGGAGCUCUUUCUGAGAUGAAGAGAAUUCUCAAUGUCAAGAUUUGAACAAGAAGAGAAUGGAAUACACAAUAUGGUUGUGGAAAAUGCACUAGAAUCAACAAACAUGGGGACUAAUUCAACUCGGAUAUCAUGUCUUCAGAGAAGUUUCUCCUGCCCUCCUCUCCCUGUAGAAUUAAGUAUUCUUCCACUGUGCCACCCUCUAACUUGUGCUCAUAUCUUCCUCUAUUGUAGUUAUGUGUUCACAUCCCUGUUGUUUUUGUACCGGCUUCUCCCAAAGGGAGACAUUUAGUCUUAUUCUUCUUGGUAACUUUAGCACAGACCUGGCAGAUUGUUGACACUCAACAAAUGUUUAUUGACUCAAAUGCAUUCAGUUGAACAUUGACCUUUGAUCAACUCUGGGAAAAGUCUGCAAAGCUAGUUAGGACAUUCAGAAAUUCAUUUCAUUUCAAUCCUAACUAAAUAAAUUAUUGAAGUCUCAGAA
Long non-coding RNA from Homo sapiens (human), 636 nucleotides. Ensembl annotates it as mir-99a-let-7c cluster host gene. Its record names the gene MIR99AHG. NCBI's taxonomy places the organism in Eukaryota, Metazoa, Chordata, Mammalia, Primates, Hominidae. The record is from Ensembl.